Long non-coding RNA from Crotalus tigris (Tiger rattlesnake), 5408 nucleotides. RefSeq lists it as uncharacterized. The transcript is spliced from 3 exons. The record is from RefSeq and is a predicted model, not a curated record. NCBI's taxonomy places the organism in Eukaryota, Metazoa, Chordata, Lepidosauria, Squamata, Viperidae.
UAUAAUUCUUAAUAUUUUCAGUACAUACCAAGUUGAAUAUAAACAUUUUUUUGUAUUUAGGCAUAUGAUAACAUCAACAUAUAACAUAUUUUCUAAUGCCUGAUUAGAAACUUAUAUCUAGUCAGAUUAUAUUGCUAUGCUUCAGCUAAUGAAGAUUGUGGCAAAUGUGUUCUAAAAUCUUCCUUUAUUAAAUAUAUAUAAUACUGAUUGUGAUUAAUGAGGAACAUAAUACUGAAGCAACAACUAUAAUCAGCUAGCAGAUUUUCAGUAACAGAUUUUGUUGUAAAAAUAAGUUGCAUUUCCCAUUUUUCCUGCAUAAUAAAUAUAUCUGCAGAUUCUAUUCCUGUAAUAGUGGCUUGUGAAGUAAGUUUGUUAUGGAUUUUGAAUUAACAUUCUAUAUUAUAGAAACGUCAUUCUCUUCAUUAACAGAACAUAGCCUGAUUUGCUGCUGUUUUGAUUUAUGAGACUGUUAUUGUAGGCACUGAUCACGGCAACUCUAUUGCAGCUGAUUUUGCUAUAAAUAACCAAGUGUCACAUUAGUAGGCUUUCAAAAAGAAUUCACGUUCAUCUGAUAGGGGUCAGAAAACUGGUAAUAUUUAUUCCUGUUAUUCCUUUGUUUUCCGCUUAACCAUAUUUACUGGCACAAAUUCUUGAGAAUAAUUUCCACAAUUUCUUUUCCCUGCAAAAUCUCAAUAAUAUUUUAAUUUACCUGCUAAAGAGUUCUUGCAAUUUUCUUCACAAGAUUUCAGAGGGGAUUUGUCAUUGCCUUCUUCCCAGGAGUCAAGCUAGUUUUUGUGCCUAAAAUGGGACUAGAACACAUGGCCUCCUGGUCUCUAGCCCACUAUAUUGAACUAGCUCUUAACUAUCAUGUUCUCUACAACUGAUUAUUUUUUUAAAAAAGCAGACUUUUACUUCAUGAAGGCAAAAACAGUUGUUUGGAAUUUUUAGAUUUUUAGAUCCUUUGUAUCUAAGCAAUCCUUUCAGUAAACAAAACUUAACAGAAUUUACUUUAAAUAAGGUAUAAGAUGCGUAUAUGAAAAAAAGAAAAUGGUGUGAUCGUAGAGUUCUUCGGGUAUUAAGGCAAAGCUCUUAGAUGGGGUCCUCCAAUGAUAAAGGAAGAGAGGUGCUGAACUCUAUCUACCAGCUUCAACAACUGAGAACAAGAAAGAGAAAGGAAAAAGGAGGGCUAAACACACCUAAAGUAUGUUGUCCCUCACUAUUUCACCCCAUUUCCUUCAAAACUUAGCCACAUGUGCAAACAUCACUCACGCCGCACUUCUCUGAAGAUUCCAGUUCAGAACUUGAAAACCAGAUAACCAGUAGAUAGUAAUGUAUACUUUUGUAUCUCAUUGCUGCCUAGUUUUUGCUGAUCAGAUAAGAUAGUAAUGGAGUAGAUAUGGACCAAAGACAGUCAGCAGAUUUCUGAUUCUGCUGUCUUUUUAAAAUGGAUGCUGUGUUUUAAAAGCAUUACAGUUCUGCAGUUCUUACAACUUGCAACACAUCACAAUAGAGAUGCUAUUGGGGAAACAUGCAUUGAUGCAAAAUUGAUUAUAUGCUAUCAUUUUAAUUUUAAGAGCCUCCUAGAGCUUUAAGUGCAACAGAAGUAUGAAAACUGGAAAAUUUCUGGACAUUUGCUUUUGUUACAUUUUUAAUAGCAAUAACUUGACUACACACCAAAUGACAUUGAAGAAUUGUUAUCAAUUUACCAAUUUCAUUUUGUGUAAAAUGGAGGUAAGAGAACAUUUUUGAUAGCUUGAGGAGAUGGCAUUAUUUGAAUGAAAAUGAACUCUUUUGAUGAUCAAUAGGUCAGAGAAAGGCUGUUCUCUGCAUUCUGAGAUCAAGACGUCUGCAGAUGUUGUAGCUCAACCAUUCCAAAAUGAAAGGAUAGGUUAUAGAAUUUCUGGAUCAAAGGCAUUGCAUACAUUUCCUCCUGGAAAGUAUUUGCCUUGUCUUGGAGUGUUGCUCCUGCAGAUCUCUGAUGUUCCAGGCUGAGGCCUUCAGGAGGGAAUAUUAGGUGUGGUUUCCUGUCACUUUUAAAUAGGUAUGUAACAUCCAUUUUGUGUUCCCCUCCCUGCAGAUAGUCUUUCACCAGUACCAUAGUCCCUAUGAUUAGCUUUAUCAAACCAGCCAAUCUUAAAAUCCAAACAACCAAAUCUUAUAUAGUUCUUAUCUUUAUGUAUGGUUUUUGUAAUCCAAUGUGUUUCCAAUUUGUCAAUGCACUAUUGAAACCAGUAUUUUAUAACAGUUCUUCUGUUCAGGGGUCCAAUUAAUAACCAGCCAAAAUUGCAGUCCAGAAUGUUUAGCCACCUAAGCGUUUUCCAGUAAAACUUCCCCCCUAGAAGAUUAGCCAAAAGCCAAGGUUUUUCUUUCUCUGCAAACAAUUCUUGAGCUUAGAAAUCACAGCUCAGUAAAUAUUUAUAAUCUCAGAAGGUCAGCAGUUUUUAAAACAAAUGUGGUUCUCACUCUGUAGUAGAUAGCCCAAUAUAUUAUCUUUUCUCUGUCAGCUGUUCUUUAUUUGGCUAAAGUCUCUAGGUUCAAAGGAACUGUCAGACCUUCAAACACUCUGAAUACAGCCAUGUUUCUUCAUUUUUUGGCUACCACAGCAAUGGGAGGGGGAAGAUACAUUCUUAUAGUUUUAUAGUUUAGUCAAAAAAAUAAAUUUUGUGUGGGAGCCAAGAUCAAGCAGCAUAAGUGUUUGGCGGGCUGGAGCUACCGUUAGGAAGCCUGCCAAAGGUGUUAAUUGGGGAUAGUGAUUUAUGACACACUAAUGGGUAGGGAGUUUAACUUUUACUUUGUAACCUUUUUUUGAGGGGGGGGUAACUUUCUGUCUUGGUUUCACAUUUGUUCACCUUGGUUUCACCUUUGAUAUUAUGUAACCAUUAAAAGUGUUCCUUGAGGAAAGCAAUUGCCUCAGAGUUCUUAUUUCUACUGGUCUCAUUUAUCUGAACCAUGACAGGAACAUGUUUUUCUCUAUUUCUGAGUGUCUUGCCAAUUCCUGAGUCAAUGCGGCUGUAGUAUUAUACUCUAAUCCUCCACUAGAUGUCAGUAGCUAUUCAUUUUCCAACUUUUAAGCAAAGAAUUAUUUUCUUAUAUUUUCUUAUAACUUCAUCAAUACUCUUUUAGAUAUGGACUCUUAGCAGUUUUCAUAAUUUUCAGAUUUAUCCAAACUGUAGUAUUAUUAACUUCAAUAUAUUUCUGUCUCCCAUAAACAUUAAUUCGCUGCUUCCUUCUAUGGAAGGGUAGGAGUAGUCCCCUCCCUUCUCACUUUCGGAGGAUUUUUUGCUUUUUGGAGAUCUUUUCCAGGAAAUCAGUUACAAAAUAGGAGAAAGAAGACUGAUAUUCUCACCCAGUUCCAAGCACAUUGUUCACAUUUGUUCUGGUUAGUGCUUUUGGACUUUGGCUGCAGGUAGCUUGGGCUAGUCAGCUAGGUGUGGCUAGCCUUUCUCCUGUUGGGUUGGAGAGCUUCCCCUGGACAAAAGCAUUGACUACCAUCAUUCUGUGAUCAGCAGAGGGCCUCUUCUUCUUCGUCACCUCUCCGGGGUGAUUUUUGACCCAUUUAGGGUCCCCUGGCAGGGUGAAACCAGCUGUGGGGUAUAGAGCCCCACAAUCCUUUGGCCGCGUCACUAUAAUGCAAGACAGGAAAUCCCUGUUUUGUCAGAUUUCUAUUAUGCUAUAAAGCCAUGUCAUUUAUGUAUAAACAAAAAGAUAGUUGGGCAUGCUGAUAUUGAUUGACUCUAGUGUCUCGAUGCUCAAAUAUUUACAAUAAGAGUUGGAAUGACACUGAAAUUUUGAUCUCUUAACUUUUGAAUGCCAAGUGCAUACCUAUCUGUACAGUUUUUUCCACUUUCACCUACCAGUUCCUAUGUGUGGAGAAUAAUGGAAAUAUGCAGGAAGUAAAUAAAAAGAACUGGAACAUUAUUUAAGCCCAUUAAGAACAUUUGGAAGUGAUUGAGGCAACACAUAAUUAAUUCAUUGAAAGUUUGAGAAGGAGGAGGUACAGUAGUAUAAGAUUUAUAAAAUUCUGUCACUGUAAAACCAAUGGUUUUAGCCUUCUUGUGGAAUUGAUUUUCUGGUCUGGUCUGCCUAAUGGGGUUGAUAUUUUGUGACCUGAAUGUCUUCCUGGAUGAUAAAAGCUAGUCUUUAUUGUUCUCUUGCUUUUUCUGAACUUGAUCCCAUUUCUCUGAAUUUUUUUUGAACUCCUCAUAGUAUGUAAUACUUAAGGUGGGUAUCAUCAAAGUAGAAUAAAGUGAAAUUGUUUCUUAUGUGGAAAUUAUAAUUCUAUACAUGUAUCUUAAAAUAAUAUUUUUUUUUCUUGCAAACAGAUCAAACUACUGGCUUGUACUUAGUUUGCUAAAUUCUACUGUUUAGUUGCAUUUAAUUUUACUAAAUUACUAUUCCCAGGUCUUUUUCAUAAAUACUACUACCAGGCUAGUAUUCAUAUCUUGCAUUUGAGUUUUCUUUCCUACUUGAAGAAUGAAAGUUUCAAACCUGUCACUUUCAGUAUGUCUGCCUAGCAGUGCUAUAUGAUUUAGGAUAUUAACCUAAAUAUUCAAAAUUUUUGUUUGAAAAAUUUGUUAAACAUUUAAUCUGUUAUGUUCAAGUAAUUAAUGAAAAUGAGUGUGAGAGUUGGAUACUAAGAAUGGCUGAUUGAAGAAAAAUUGAUGCCUUUGAACUAUGAUGCUGGUGUAAAUUAUUGCAUAUACUAUGGACAGCCAGAGUAACUAACAGAGAAGUGUUAAAUUGUAUAAAACCAGACACAUCACUAGAAUCAUAAGACUACAUCUGAUUUACUUUGGCCAUGUUAUGUGUGCAAAUUCAUUGCAAAAGGCAAUGAUGCUAGGAAUGGUUAGUGGAACAAGAAGAAGGGGCACACAAAGAAUACAAUGGCUUAAUAACAUCAUAUCUGAUACAAAGUUGAACAUCUAACAAUUGAGAGAAACUGAACUUGACAGGAUAGCAUGGAGAGUCCUUGCCUAUAAAGUUGCCAAGAAUUGGACAUGGUCAAUAGUUAAAACAACAACAAUUAAUGAAAAUAUGAUAUAGUAGAGGAUAAAGCAUGAUUCUUAUGCAUCCCAUCUGAAAAUUUUCUCAGGGCAGUAUAUAUAUAUAUAUCAAUACCAAAGAAAGGAGUCUUUAUAAGUGUGCAAACUAUUGUAUAACAUCAAUUUCAGAUACUGACACAAUAAUUCUUUGGAUCAUUCAGUGCAGAUCAAAUGCUUACAUGGAAAGGGAGAUGUUCAAGCUGGCUUUAGAAAAAGAUGAGGAACAAGACACAUUAUUAUUGAUGCAUGUUGACUACCGUAAAUGCCGGUGUAUUAGGCGACCCGGCGUAUAAGACGACCCCCGUCUUUAUAGCCGGGCCGCAUUCCUAGAACGUGGUCUUAUACACCGGAAACUACCAGUAUUUC